This 117-nucleotide ribosomal RNA is filed under the name uncultured bacterium. RNAcentral describes it as "partial 16S ribosomal RNA". It matches the Rfam family "Bacterial small subunit ribosomal RNA", at positions 1358 to 1482 of the family's 1533-position model. The record is from RNAcentral.
UACGGUGAAUACGUUCCCGGACCUUGUACACACCGCCCCGUCAAGCCAUGGAAGCUGGGUGUACCUAAAGUCGAUAACCGUAAGGAGUCGCCUAGGGUAAAACUAGUAACUGGGGCU